UUUGUUUGUAUAUUUAUUUUGAGACAAAGUCUCAAUACGUAGCCUUGGAAGAUCUAAAUUUCACUAUGUAGACCAGACUGUCCUCAAACUCAUAGAGAUCCACCUGACUC
RNAcentral lists this microRNA precursor (110 nucleotides) under Mesocricetus auratus (golden hamster). Its description in RNAcentral is "miRNA (ENSMAUG00000005495.1)". The record is from RNAcentral. Lineage: Eukaryota; Metazoa; Chordata; Mammalia; Rodentia; Cricetidae.